AAUACUGAGAAAUAAUAAAAGAUGAAGGAAUGGUGAGACUGAGGAGCCCUCUUUGUUUUCCUCCUCCUCCCUCACAAAAACCAAAAUACUAUGAUCACCUUUCACCUUCCAUUCUUCAAUAUCUCUUCUCUAUUCUCGAAUUAACCUUUCACCUUUAACCUUUCACCUUCCUUUCACCUUCUCUCAUUCCUUCAGUUUUCACAUUUCAGACCCAUUCUCUCACUUUCCUCACUGGAAGUGGUUUCGAUUCUCUUUUCCUCUCUCUCAGUUUAGUUUUACUACUCAAAUUUCCUCUUCACCAUUUUUCUCCCUUUGUUUUUUCGGUCAAAAAUAUUUUGUUUGUGUUUUUUCCAAACGGUUUUGUGUCGCUUUCAUAUUUGAUUGUUGGAUGAAGCGUUUAAGUUUCAGCUUGUAAGAUCAUCAAUAUCUGCUGUGUUCAAAUACUCUGUUGCAUGCUCAUUGGGAGGUUUAGUUAGGGUUUUCGUGUAACGGCAUGUGUAAUGUACAUGGUGGUUUUUCAAAAUUUAACUCAGGUUUUCAGUGUGUUACUUUGCUCUUUCACUCAUCUUAUUGCACUUAAGUUUGUGUCCCUUGUCCCUUUUUCUCCCCUCAUUUUGCCUGAGGAGCACGAAUCAUCUUCAUUGUUUCUCUCUCUAUGAACUUCACGUCUAGAAUUGAAAGAUCACGGAGAUGGGGAAGUUGAAAACUUCACUUGACUUAUUUUUUCCUUUGGUAUUUUAUUGUAAGCACAGGGACCUAGAAAUGUUAAUAUUCUACUGCAUACUGUGGGCUUUCUUAUGAGAGAAAAUAUUGAUGGUGUGGAAUAUUGUAUUUCUAUGUCAGGAUAGCCAGUUAUCUUAUCGUUUAAUUUCUUUUAUUAAUUGUUGUCUGGAUUUUUGCUAAUGUACCUACUUUGUUUUUAAUUAUUGAAAAGCUGAAUAGCUAAUAUUUAAGUGUUAUUCAAGCUUCUUCUUUCGAAGUCACUGCCAAAAGAAUGUUUUGAUCAAAUAGCUCAUUUCUCAUAAAUUGUGUUGUUGUAUUUCUCUUUACAGAAAUCUUUGAAAUUUAGGGGUAUUCUACAUUUUGGGAACCUGUGGGAAAAGUAAUUACUAGCUGAUUACAAAUGGCACCCAAUAAAAGAGUGGUAGCGGCCUAUCGUGCAAUGGGAAGUCUUGGAAUUGAUGAGUCGAAAGUGAAAUCAGCGAUAAAGAAACUCCUCAAAGUGUUUGACAAAAACUGGGAACUUAUAGAGGCAGAGAACUAUAGAGUUCUAGUAGAUGCUAUAUUUGAGGAGGACGAUAAUAUGGUACCCGAAGAGAAAAAGAAAGUCCGGUCUGACGAUGUACAUGACACUCAUCAUUCUUUGCCUUCCUUUUCAAACAACCAAGAAGAUGAGACAGAGUGUGAAGAGGCUCAGAUGCAUAAUGCCCAACCUUUAAAAAGGCUGCGAUUAAGAGGCCAGGACAGUCAGCCUUUGCAUCCUCUGACCAACAUUGCCACCAGCCCUCCUUCGAAAAGGCCUAAAUUAGAAGAUAAUGCAUUACACCAGGGUUCUUCUGGGAAGAAACCUCAAAACAAGCCAGAGUCAUCUGAUGGGAAUCCAAGGAUUGAAGCACCGUUACUUAGACCACCAGAUGACAUUGUUGAUAAGGGAAAGCAACCUGCAUCAGCCCAAGUUUUGCAAAGAGGAAGAGAACUUACAUCUGGAAGAUCGUCCCCAUCCACACCAUCUAAAGAACGAACAGUUAAAUCAGGGAAGUUUUUGAUGCCAAACAACACAAUACCUCGUCCGCUGGCACUUAUCAUACCCAAGGACGAGCCUAUUGAUGAAGUGCCUGAUUAUGGAAUGCCCAUUGCAGUGAUUCAUCCUGAACCAUCACGCGUAAGGGACUCAUCAUUCAGGAAUGGUGUAGCUGGAAAGCAUGUCAACCAUGAUACUGUGACAUCAUCAGCAUGCAGAAAUAGAGUCAGAGAUGAAGAUGUUCUUCCUACCUCAAAUGAAGAAGCCACUUGUAAUGUAGAGAUAGCCUCAUCAACUCUUGGAGAGGUAAAACUUUCUUUGAGCUGCAGCUCAGCACUUUGGGGAUCAAAUUUUCACAUGCCUAGUCGAGAUGAACUCAUAGAAAUGAUGGAGGCGAAAUGCCUGCGUUCAUAUAAAAUUGCUGACCCAAAUUUCUCUGUUAUGAAACUGUUGAUGGAUGUAUGCAAUUGCAUGUUGGAACUCAGAAACAAUUCUAAUAAUGAUCCAGAAGAAGGUUCUAUAGGGACAUCCAAUGUUCAUAUGUCGAAGGAAUCACAAGAACCUGACACACUGAGUGUGGAAAGAAACAAAGAAUUGGACACCCUUUCUCAUGUUUCAAAUGGAUCAAUCAAUGUUAAUCCUUCUGCUGCAUUGGUUUCUCCCCAUAGUUUCCUUCCUCGUGCUGACCUGAUUGGUCUGAAUGAUGCUGUCUUGGUUUCCAAGAUGGACCAAAAAACAAAUGAUUUUUCGCAAUGUAAUGCAAAUAAGGAGCUGGAAGAUUCUAUGUCUCCAAAUUCACAUAGUUUAGUGAUUGUUCCACAGCAUCAGCUGACAUCUGAUGAUAUAAGGUCUUUUUAUAAUGCUAAUGACCUCACAAAAGGAGAAGAAAAUGUUGAAAUUCCUUGGGUGAAUGAAUAUACUAACGAUUUCCCAGCAUCCUUUAACUACAUACCCCGAAACCUUGUGUUCCAAGAUGCUUAUGUUAACAUUUCUCUGUCACGUAUUGGCAGUGAGGACUGUUGUUCAACUUGUAUGGGCAAUUGUGUCUUGUCACCUUGUGCUUGUGCAAAUAAAACUGGUGGUGAAUUUGCUUAUAGUUCUCAAGGCCUACUGAGGGAAGAAUUUUUGGAAGAGUGCAUUGCCACUAAUCGCAAUCCACAAAACCAUUUCUUUUAUUGCAAAAUUUGCCCACUUGAAAGAUCUAAGAAUGAUGGUGGUUUAGAACCUUGUAAAGGACACUUAAAGAGGAAGUUUAUUAAAGAAUGCUGGAGCAAAUGUGGCUGUGGGAAACAGUGUGGAAAUCGGAUUAUCCAGCGAGGAAUAACUUGCAAAUUGCAGGUGUUUUUCACUUCAGAAGGUAAAGGAUGGGGUCUUCGUACCUUAGAGGACCUGCCUAAAGGUGCAUUUGUAUGUGAGUUUGUUGGAGAAAUUUUAUCUAUUAAAGAGUUGCAUGAGAGGAACAUGAAAUGUACUGGAAAAGGGAACCAUACAUACCCAGUUCUACUGGAUGCAAAUUGGGAUUCAGGAUCUAUGAAGAACAAAGAAGCUCUAUGCUUGGAUUCAGCUUCGUUUGGCAACAUUGCUAGGUUUAUCAAUCACAGAUGUUUUGAUGCAAACUUGGUUGAGAUCCCAGUUGAAGUUGAGGAUCCUGAUCAUUAUUACUACCAUUUUGCUUUUUUUACUUCCAGAAAAGUAGCAGCACUUGAGGAGUUAACAUGGGAUUAUGGCAUUGACUUUGAUGAUCAUGAUCAUCCUAUCAAGCUGUUCCAGUGCAGUUGUGGCAGUAAAUUAUGCAGGCAUAUAAAGAGGUCAAACAAACUCAUGUAUGAGGGGUCAUGUAUUUGUUGUGGUGAAUAAGUUAAACAUGAUAAAUAUGGGCAUAAUGAUGAGCUAAUUGGAUGCAUGUUGGUGGUGGAAAACUAUCAGCGUGGGGGGCUUUAUGUGGUGACAUAUAUUCUUUAUUCAAAUAUUUGAGGAUCCAGCAGAUCUGCGUCAAUUUCCGGAUGAUGAUAAGUCCUUUCUCCGGCAAACCGAUGUCUAACCGUGCUUUGCCGAGUUGUAUUACAAGUGGUUGCUUUUGUUUGUUGGUUAGUGAAUGUUAGGUUUUUCGUAUAGAUGGUUGAAAAUUAUUAUCGGCAUUCGUGUCGCACGAAAGAGUUAUCUGUCAUUUUGGGAUUUAUUUUGGUAAACUUAUUACGAGGGGUUCAAAUUUAGAAAAACCAAAAUGAAGAUUAGGCUGUAGUGAAGGUGAAUAUGUAGUUUAUAGCUGCAGCGCAUGUGGGACUUUGAUAUCUCUUAAUAAUAUUAACGGACUUUGGUUGGAA
Molecule: RNA transcript, 4065 nt
Organism: Vigna angularis (adzuki bean)
Lineage: Eukaryota; Viridiplantae; Streptophyta; Magnoliopsida; Fabales; Fabaceae
Gene name: probable inactive histone-lysine N-methyltransferase SUVR2
Exons: 9
Source: RefSeq, a predicted model, not a curated record